AACCUAAAUUAAUCAAAACUAAAAAAAAAAAUAUCCCCCCGUCAACCCAAAACCCAAAUCACGGAUACCAAAAUUCAAAUCAAAUCUAAUUGGUUACUAUUUGUAUUCCGUAAUUUUUUUUUCAACCUUCUAAUUAAUAGGAGUAGAGUCUUAGUCCACCUUCUAAAUUGCAUUCCACACCAAACAAACAAAACCCCAAAAAUUUAUCUCCUGCAAAACCUAAAACAAAAACUAAGCACCUCUACCAGGAUACCGCCGCCGUACUGAUUCAACCUCCGGUGAAAGCCGAUAAACUCUCCACCACUCUGAAUUUCGAGUAUUUUAACAAACAUCCUCUCACGUAUGUUUAAGAUACAAUUGACGAGAUAAGGCAGAGUUGAAUCUCGUAUGUUACCGGAUAUCAUCAACCAAAUAACGAUGAAGAUGAAAAGAUGAUGGUGAUCAAGUGUGAGUUGGGCUAGCUCAAGGAGUUGGUUAUUGAUCUAUUUUUGUAUUUUAUUUUUUUGACAUUAGAUAGGUCUUUGAUUUUUGUUGUUGUACUAUUAUGGAUUAUUUUGUCAAUAAAUAAUAGGAUUUAUUAUUGAAUGAAUGCGAUUUUAUUUUAUUUAUUUAAA
Molecule: long non-coding RNA, 614 nt
Organism: Spinacia oleracea (spinach)
Lineage: Eukaryota; Viridiplantae; Streptophyta; Magnoliopsida; Caryophyllales; Amaranthaceae
Exons: 2
Source: RefSeq, a predicted model, not a curated record